RNAcentral lists this ribosomal RNA (497 nucleotides) under uncultured bacterium. Its description in RNAcentral is "partial 16S ribosomal RNA". It matches the Rfam family "Bacterial small subunit ribosomal RNA", at positions 28 to 507 of the family's 1533-position model. The record is from RNAcentral.
GAUGAACGCUGGCGGCGUGCCUAACACAUGCAAGUCGAACGGUAACACGAAGAACUUUCCUUCCUUGCUGACGCGGCGGGGACGGGAGAAAAACGUCGGGAAAACUCCCUGAUGGAGGGGGUAAACUCCGGAAAACGGUGCGAAUAACCGCAUAAAUUCUCAAGCCCAUGGAGGAAGAGUUUCGGACGGCUUUGCUUUCGAUGUUCGCAGGGUGCGGGAGGGAUUAGCUAGUUGGUGGGGUAACGGCUGACCCAGGCGACGAUGCGUAGCUGACCUGAGAGGAUGAUCAGCCACACUGGAACUGAGACACGGUCCAGACUCCUACGGGAGGCAGCAGUGGGGAAUAUUGCACAAUGGGCGCAAGCCUGAUGCAGCAACGCCGCGUGAAUGAAGAAGGCCUUCGGGUUGUAAAGUACUUUUAUCGGGGAGGAAGGGAGUUGUGUUAAUACCUUCGCGCAUUGACGGUACCCGAAGAAGAAGCACCGGCUAACUACGUG